CGGAUUACAGCUAGUUGAGCCAAAUUUUUUCAAUCAAAUGACCACUGUUCAUGGGCUGAUCAUGGUCUUUGGAG
This 74-nucleotide transfer RNA is filed under the name Shewanella putrefaciens. RNAcentral's name for it is "tRNA-Cys". The record is from RNAcentral. Lineage: Bacteria; Pseudomonadati; Pseudomonadota; Gammaproteobacteria; Alteromonadales; Shewanellaceae.